CAUUACCGGUUCUCGUUAGAUCACCGAAGUUAAGCUUCAUUGGGCGCGGUCAGUACUUGGGUGGGUGACCACCUGGGAACACUGCGUGCCGUU
This 93-nucleotide ribosomal RNA is filed under the name Caerostris darwini. The record is from RNAcentral. Lineage: Eukaryota; Metazoa; Arthropoda; Arachnida; Araneae; Araneidae.